This is a long non-coding RNA of Xiphophorus hellerii (green swordtail), 1515 nucleotides long. RefSeq lists it as uncharacterized. Lineage: Eukaryota; Metazoa; Chordata; Actinopteri; Cyprinodontiformes; Poeciliidae. The transcript has 2 exons. The record is from RefSeq and is a predicted model, not a curated record.
UUCCUGUUUAGCUUAGGACUAAUGUAGUUGCUGGGUCACAAAGGAUGGAGGGGAAAAGAGGUAUGCAUGUGAGCACGUGUGUGGAUAAACUAAGAUGAAGAAAGGGAACACAGUCUGUGCUGCGGGCUCGUGGCGAGCUGACCCAGAUUUCCCUGAGGGGUGGAAAGAUCCUGAUAAAGUUCCUCUGAAGAGAACAGCGUUGCUGUGAUAACACCAGGAGGAGCCUUUGAUCCACUCUGCAGCAUCUUCGUCUUCAGUUUCAAGGUUUACAGCAAGCUGUAAUCUGACAUCCCUUCCACUUCCUGUCCGGCACCCCGUCCCACAGUGCAACAGGCUCCAGCGAUAGCCAUCAGCCACACAAAGAAAUUUUAACCCCAACACCACUCCGGAAAUACCUUCUCUGCAUCUGUCUUUCCCACCCAGUUUGUCCUUUCUGAUGCCCUCUGCCUCUUUCCUUUCUCUUCAAAUUUACAAGAACUUCCCUCCUGCCUGUCACGGUUCCUCCCACACAACAAAAUCUCUAUUCUGCGUGUCGUGAGUUAUUUUUGAAAAUCCAAGUGGUGCAAAAAGUUUUAAAAGGCACCAUCAGCUGAAUUUCUCAUCAGUGGCUCCUCAACAGCGCUCUAGCCUGUCCUCACACAGGGACAGCAAUAUUUAUUCGAAACUAAAACAGAGAGAGAUGAGAACGCGAUAAGAUGAAAUAGGAGGAAAUGCUGAUUCAGGAGUUAUCAAUCCAGUCUGAACAUAUGUGUGAAUUUUACCAAAGUGUACUGUAUUUUUAAUCACUUUCUUUUUUCUCUUCAAGCUUCACUUUAGACUCUUUCUUUCUUUUUCUUUUACCCCUUCCUCACCCAUUUCCCUGGUUACCUCCAUUUCUCCAUCAUUAUCCUACUUUCCACAACAUUCCUGACCCCUUGCUUCCUGUAAUCCUGUGUAUCUAGCAAAGAGGUUAUUUCUCUUGUGUCAUUAGACAUGCAAACAUUGUGGUUUUAAAAAGGCGGCUAAAACAGAGCUUUGGUGCACCUCCAGCAAUAAAACAGAGUGGGAGUUGGCCUGUGACAAAUCAAAGUAAGAUUAAAUGAGAAGGUGUCUCAGGGUGUACAGGAAGAAUCAGAAGAGAGAGUGAUGAGAGGCUUGCUUUUGUUUAAUCAAGAGAAAAAUAUUUAAAAGCGAUGUAAACAGAGACACCUCACUGUCAGAGCAAACCAGGGCAGCUAGAGAAGAAACAACAAAUUAGAAGAAGGUUUUUCAGCCUGUCCAACCGAAACCUAUACUGCCUGGUGCUUUGAAUCUUGUGAGAUACAAUACUGAGAAAAAGUGCUAGAUGCAGAAUUUGAUAAGGUACCCACUAAAAAAUCUUCAGUCACAUUAUUUUUAAAACCAUGGCGCUAUCAAGAAGGCCAAGUUGUUUUCCAUCAGUUAUUUCAAAAUUGUAAUGUCAUGUUUGUUUGCGUCAAGUUGUGUGAACAUGGAAGCAAAGUUUGUGAUGUUAUGAAAUAAAAUGAAUGAGAAAUA